RNAcentral lists this transfer RNA (87 nucleotides) under Myxococcales bacterium. RNAcentral describes it as "tRNA-Leu". It matches the Rfam family "tRNA". From Rfam's summary of the family: Transfer RNA (tRNA) molecules are approximately 80 nucleotides in length. Their secondary structure includes four short double-helical elements and three loops (D, anti-codon, and T loops). Lineage: Bacteria; Pseudomonadati; Myxococcota; Myxococcia; Myxococcales. The record is from RNAcentral.
GCGAGAGUGGCGGAAUUGGCAUACGCACUAGACUUAGGAUCUAGCCCGCUUCGGCGGUUGGGGGUUCGAGUCCCCCCUCUCGCACCA